GGCCUUUCGGGGUACACGAGCGGCGAACGGGUGAGUAACACGUGGGUGAUCUGCCCUGCACUUCGGGAUAAGCCUGGGAAACUGGGUCUAAUACCGGAUAUGACCUCCUAUCGCAUGGUGGGUGGUGGAAAGAUUUAUCGGUGCAGGAUGGGCCCGCGGCCUAUCAGCUUGUUGGUGGGGUAAUGGCCUACCAAGGCGACGACGGGUAGCCGACCUGAGAGGGUGACCGGCCACACUGGGACUGAGACACGGCCCAGACUCCUACGGGAGGCAGCAGUGGGGAAUAUUGCACAAUGGGCGAAAGCCUGAUGCAGCGACGCCGCGUGAGGGAUGACGGCCUUCGGGUUGUAAACCUCUUUCAGCAGGGACGAAGCGCAAGUGACGGUACCUGCAGAAGAAGCACCGGCUAACUACGUGCCAGCAGCCGCGGUAAUACGUAGGGUGCAAGCGUUGUCCGGAAUUACUGGGCGUAAAGAGUUCGUAGGCGGUUUGUCGCGUCGUUUGUGAAAACCAGCAGCUCAACUGCUGGCUUGCAGGCGAUACGGGCAGACUUGAGUACUGCAGGGGAGACUGGAAUUCCUGGUGUAGCGGUGAAAUGCGCAGAUAUCAGGAGGAACACCGGUGGCGAAGGCGGGUCUCUGGGCAGUAACUGACGCUGAG
This 660-nucleotide ribosomal RNA is filed under the name Rhodococcus sp. JSM 082010. RNAcentral's name for it is "bacterial SSU rRNA". It matches the Rfam family "Bacterial small subunit ribosomal RNA", at positions 74 to 750 of the family's 1533-position model. Lineage: Bacteria; Bacillati; Actinomycetota; Actinomycetes; Mycobacteriales; Nocardiaceae. The record is from RNAcentral.